CCUACGGGUGGCAGCAGUGGGGAAUAUUGGACAAUGGGGGGAACCCUGAUCCAGCGACGCCGCGUGAGUGAAGAAGUAUUUCGGUAUGUAAAGCUCUAUCAGCAGGGAAGAAAGAAAUGACGGUACCUGACUAAGAAGCCCCGGCCAACCACGUGCCAGGAGCCGCUGGAAUACGUAGGGGGCAAGUGUUAGCCGGAUUGACUGGUUGUAAAGGGAGCGUAGACGGCGAGGCAAGUCAGAAGGGAAAGGCGGGGGCCCAACCCCCGGACUGCUUUGGAAACUGUAUGGCUGGAGUGCAGGAGAGGUAAGUGGAAUUCCUAGUGUAGCGGUGAAAUGCGUAGAUAUUAGGAGGAACACCAGUGGCGAAGGCGGCUUACUGGACUGUAACUGACGUUGAGGCUCGAAAGCGUGGGGAGCAAACAGGAUUAGAUACCCCUGUAGUC
Molecule: ribosomal RNA, 443 nt
Filed under: uncultured bacterium
Lineage: Bacteria
Description: partial 16S ribosomal RNA
Rfam family: Bacterial small subunit ribosomal RNA
Source: RNAcentral